AUUUAUCUAGUAUACAAUGUAUAAUUGACUUCCAAUCAAAGGGACUGAAAAAUAUUUCAGGAUAAAUA
This 68-nucleotide transfer RNA is filed under the name Cerconychia flectospina. RNAcentral describes it as "tRNA-Gly". Lineage: Eukaryota; Metazoa; Arthropoda; Insecta; Plecoptera; Styloperlidae. The record is from RNAcentral.